Non-coding RNA from Vigna umbellata (rice bean), 331 nucleotides. The record is from RefSeq and is a predicted model, not a curated record. Lineage: Eukaryota; Viridiplantae; Streptophyta; Magnoliopsida; Fabales; Fabaceae.
UUUCAUUUUUUCUUUCUAUAAAGGAAAAAUUAGGUAGUGACAAGAAUUACUAUAUUUUUGUCGAAGUAUUCUGGUAUGGUGCACCAUUAAUUUAGCAGCAAAUAAGGAAAAUUGAAGUUACAAGAGAAAUCAGAGAACUACGAGGUUGCAUGGAUCUUUUUGAUUUCUCAACACAGUUCUGGGGAUUCAAAAGGGAGAGCAUUCUUCCAAGUACUCUCUAGAGGUGUCAACUAAGGAAUUUCUUCUUAAAUAACAGUAGCAGUCGCAUGGUGCCAUGGUCAAAUAAAUCUUGGUUUCUACUUUUUGGGUAAAAAUUCUAUCAUAUAACUUU